This 321-nucleotide ribosomal RNA is filed under the name uncultured eukaryote. Its description in RNAcentral is "partial 18S ribosomal RNA". It matches the Rfam family "Eukaryotic small subunit ribosomal RNA", at positions 1470 to 1796 of the family's 1831-position model. The record is from RNAcentral.
CCCUUAGAUGUCCUGGGCCGCACGCGUGCUACACUGAUACGUUCAACAAGCUUUUCUCCUGGCUCGGAAGAGUUCGGGUAAUCUUGAUAAUGCGUAUCGUGCUAGGGAUAGAUCUUUGAAAUUAUGGAUCUUGAACGAGGAAUUCCUAGUAAGCAUAAGUCAUCAGCUUGUGCUGAUUACGUCCCUGCCCUUUGUACACACCGCCCGUCGCUGCUACCGAUUUUGAGUGAUCCGGUGAACCUUCUGGACUGUAAUCGGGCUUGACCCGGUCGUGGGAAAUUAAGUAAACCUUAUCACUUAGAGGAAGCAGAAGUCGUAACA